GCAAGUCGAGCGGGGAAAGGUAGCUUGCUACUGGACCUAGCGGCGGACGGGUGAGUAAUGCUUAGGAAUCUGCCUAUUGGUGGGGGACAACAUCUCGAAAGGGAUGCUAAUACCGCAUACGUCCUACGGGAGAAAGCAGGGGAUCUUCGGACCUUGCGCUAAUAGAUGAGCCUAAGUCGGAUUAGCUAGUUGGUGGGGUAAAGGCCUACCAAGGCGACGAUCUGUAGCGGGUCUGAGAGGAUGAUCCGCCACACUGGGACUGAGACACGGCCCAGACUCCUACGGGAGGCAGCAGUGGGGAAUAUUGGACAAUGGGCGCAAGCCUGAUCCAGCCAUGCCGCGUGUGUGAAGAAGGCCUUAUGGUUGUAAAGCACUUUAAGCGAGGAGGAGGCUACUUUAGAUAAUACCUAGAGAUAGUGGACGUUACUCGCAGAAUAAGCACCGGCUAACUCUGUGCCAGCAGCCGCGGUAAUACAGAGGGUGCAAGCGUUAAUCGGAUUUACUGGGCGUAAAGCGCGCGUAGGCGGCUAAUUAAGUCAAAUGUGAAAUCCCCGAGCUUAACUUGGGAAUUGCAUUCGAUACUGGUUAGCUAGAGUGUGGGAGAGGAUGGUAGAAUUCCAGGUGUAGCGGUGAAAUGCGUAGAGAUCUGGAGGAAUACCGAUGGCGAAGGCAGCCAUCUGGCCUAACACUGACGCUGAGGUGCGAAAGCAUGGGGAGCAAACAGGAUUAGAUACCCUGGUAGUCCAUGCCGUAAACGAUGUCUACUAGCCGUUGGGGCCUUUGAGGCUUUAGUGGCGCAG
This 800-nucleotide ribosomal RNA is filed under the name Acinetobacter nosocomialis. RNAcentral describes it as "bacterial SSU rRNA". It matches the Rfam family "Bacterial small subunit ribosomal RNA", at positions 57 to 851 of the family's 1533-position model. The record is from RNAcentral. Lineage: Bacteria; Pseudomonadati; Pseudomonadota; Gammaproteobacteria; Moraxellales; Moraxellaceae.